AGAAUCAACGCUGGCGGCGUGCCUAACACAUGCAAGUCGCACGAGAAAGGGACUUCGGUCCUGAGUACAGUGGCGCACGGGUGAGUAACACGUGAAUCAUCUACCUUCGAGUGGGGAAUAAACUGAGAGAAAUCUUAGCUAAUACCGCAUAAUACCUACGGGUCAAAGCAGCAAUGCGCUUGAAGAGGAGUUCGCGGCAGAUUAGUUAGUUGGCGGGGUAAUGGCCCACCAAGACGAUGAUCUGUA
This 246-nucleotide ribosomal RNA is filed under the name uncultured bacterium. Its description in RNAcentral is "partial small subunit ribosomal RNA". It matches the Rfam family "Bacterial small subunit ribosomal RNA", at positions 26 to 285 of the family's 1533-position model. The record is from RNAcentral.